Molecule: long non-coding RNA, 733 nt
Organism: Archocentrus centrarchus (flier cichlid)
Lineage: Eukaryota; Metazoa; Chordata; Actinopteri; Cichliformes; Cichlidae
Exons: 3
Source: RefSeq, a predicted model, not a curated record
GGUGUGAACACCACUGGCUACACUUUAAAACAAGGGGCUUAUCAACCAAGAUAAAGGAAAGAGGUGUCCCAUGAAGUUUCGCACAUCUGUGAUCAGUCAGACGCAUCUGUUGUUGUCUAAUGCAGAUGUGAAUAACGUGGGUCCACCAUGGCCCAAACUGAUACGUCUCUCACCUGAGGAGGUAAAGAUGCAUCGGGGACAAGGGUGUAGUUUGUGGUGAGUUCGGUGUCCUUCUGCUGGUUGGAUGAGGUACUGGUGCCGCUGUUGCCAUUUCCCAGCAGAGGCCUCUGUUCAUCGGAGCCCUCUUCCUCCACAUCUGAGCUGCGGGCCUCAGGGUCACCGGCUGAGGCCUUGGUCACCAGAACGAGGAUGAAGAUGAUGACUGUGGUGAGGAUGAUGGAGACCAGGCUGACAGAGAGACAGAGGACCCAGAAGUCACCAACAGUGAUGAUAAGGCGGAGGGACGAGAACACAGCACACCACAACACUACAUACAGCAACUGGUGGAAGGAGAGGACAAGUUAAUGUUACAAGUGUGAUCUCUAAAGCUGUAAACCAUUGAAUAUAACAGUUUGGCUCCUUUUUCAAGCUCUCCAGUCACACGCUUGUUUCCUUUUUUCUCCAGUUCAUUGUUUCUUGUCCAUUUUUGGUUUCUGUUGGACUUUCUUGUGUAUGGACCCCUUGCCUGCAUUGGUUGCUUUUCUGAGUAUGAUUAAAGAAAAGUUGAAUUUCA